GCAAAAGGGACAUCAAUCCAUUCCUCUCAUUCCUAAGACUGCUAAUGCCUAGUUUUUUUCCCCAUCAUCUAGGGAGAUGAAAAAAUUGCCAAUGUCUCCAGAAACCAAGAGAAUUAUCAAAUACUAGUUGGUGGAUUUGUAUUUGAAGUUGAUUUCUGUUGAGUGAUAAAGAUGGUGUGGACUAUUUGUAACCUCUACCUGAAUGCAAAUAAUGUUUUCUCAUCAACA
This 228-nucleotide unclassified non-coding RNA is filed under the name Hevea brasiliensis (rubber tree). Lineage: Eukaryota; Viridiplantae; Streptophyta; Magnoliopsida; Malpighiales; Euphorbiaceae. The record is from RNAcentral.